CUUUGUGACAUACCUAUAACUGUUGCUUCGGCGGGUAGGGUCUCCGCGACCCUCCCGGCCUCCCGCCUCCGGGCGGGUCGGCGCCCGCCGGAGGAUAACCAAACUCUGAUUUAACGACGUUUCUUCUGAGUGGUACAAGCAAAUAAUCAAAACUUUUAACAACGGAUCUCUUGGUUCUGGCAUCGAUGAAGAACGCAGCGAAAUGCGAUAAGUAAUGUGAAUUGCAGAAUUCAGUGAAUCAUCGAAUCUUUGAACGCACAUUGCGCCCGCCAGCAUUCUGGCGGGCAUGCCUGUUCGAGCGUCAUUUCAACCCUCAAGCUCUGCUUGGUGUUGGGGCCCUACAGCUGAUGUAGGCCCUCAAAGGUAGUGGCGGACCCUCUCGGAGCCUCCUUUGCGUAGUAACUUUACGUCUCGCACUGGGAUCCGGAGGGACUCUUGCCGUAAAACCCCCAAUUUUCCAAAGGUUGACCUCGGAUCAGGUAGGAAUACCCGCUGAACUUAAGCA
This 505-nucleotide ribosomal RNA is filed under the name Colletotrichum siamense. RNAcentral describes it as "eukaryotic LSU rRNA". The stretch from base 151 to 304 matches the Rfam family "5.8S ribosomal RNA". Lineage: Eukaryota; Fungi; Ascomycota; Sordariomycetes; Glomerellales; Glomerellaceae. The record is from RNAcentral.